UACGUAGGGUGCAAGCGUUGUCCGGAAUUAUUGGGCGUAAAGAGCUCGUAGGCGGUUUGUCGCGUCGGCUGUGAAAACUCGGGGCUCAACCCCGGGCCUGCAGUCGAUACGGGCAGACUAGAGUGCUGUAGGGGAGACUGGAAUUCCUGGUGUAGCGGUGAAAUGCGCAGAUAUCAGGAGGAACACCGGUGGCGAAGGCGGGUCUCUGGGCAGUAACUGACGCUGAGGAGCGAAAGCGUGGGGAGCGAACAGG
This 253-nucleotide ribosomal RNA is filed under the name uncultured bacterium. RNAcentral's name for it is "partial 16S ribosomal RNA". It matches the Rfam family "Bacterial small subunit ribosomal RNA", at positions 524 to 776 of the family's 1533-position model. The record is from RNAcentral.